GAUGAAGAACGCAGCGAAAUGCGAUACUUGGUGUGAAUUGCAGAAUCCCGUGAACCAUCGAGUCUUUGAACGCAAGUUGCGCCCGAAGCCAUUAGGCCGAGGGCACGCCUGCCUGGGCGUCACACGUCGUUGCCCCCCCAUCUACUCCUUCGGGAUUGCGGGGGGCGGAUGGUGGCCUCCCGUGUGCCUCGCCGCGCGGUUGGCAUAAAUGCCAAGUCCUCGGCGACGCACGCCACGACAAUCGGUGGUUGCGAAACCUCGGUUGCCCGUCGUGUGCGGUCGUCGCGCAUCGAGGGCUCGAAAAAUUGCCGGGUUCCGGCUCGGCUUUCAACGCGACCCCAGGUCAGGCGGGGUUACCCGCUGAAUUUAAGCAUAUCAAUACGGAGGA
RNAcentral lists this unclassified non-coding RNA (388 nucleotides) under soil metagenome. RNAcentral describes it as "partial contains 5.8S ribosomal RNA, internal transcribed spacer 2, and large subunit ribosomal RNA". The stretch from base 1 to 122 matches the Rfam family "5.8S ribosomal RNA", at positions 35 to 154 of the family's 154-position model. The record is from RNAcentral.